RNAcentral lists this ribosomal RNA (506 nucleotides) under uncultured bacterium. RNAcentral describes it as "partial 16S ribosomal RNA". It matches the Rfam family "Bacterial small subunit ribosomal RNA", at positions 29 to 523 of the family's 1533-position model. The record is from RNAcentral.
AGUGAACGCUGGCGGUAGGCCUAACACAUGCAAGUCGAACGGCAGCACAGGAGAGCUUGCUCUCUGGGUGGCGAGUGGCGGACGGGUGAGGAAUACAUCGGAAUCUACUCUGUCGUGGGGGAUAACGUAGGGAAACUUACGCUAAUACCGCAUACGACCUACGGGUGAAAGCAGGGGACCUUCGGGCCUUGCGCGAUUGAAUAAGCCGAUGUCGGAUUAGCUAGUUGGCGGGGUAAAGGCCCACCAAGGCGACGAUCUGUAGCUGGUCUGAGAGGAUGCUCAGCCACAGUGGAACUGAGACACGGUCCAGACUCCUACGGGAGGCAGCAGUGGGGAAUAUUGGACAAUGGGCGCAAGCCUGAUCCAGCCAUACCGCGUGGGUGAAGAAGGCCUUCGGGUUGUAAAGCCCCUUUGUUGGGAAAGAAAUCCAGCUGGCUAAUACCCGGUUGGGAUGACGGUACCCAAAGAAUAAGCACCGGCUAACUUCGUGCCAGCCGCCGCGGUAG